UUUAGGCCCAAAAUGAGCACCUGCAACGGCAGCAGAUCGACCUCUAGGCUAACCUACUAAGAGCCCAAAAGAAGGCCAUCAAGGACUCAAGUCGUACCAGACGAGUGGAAAGAUGCCUGUUCGACGAGGAAUCAGCAUCCGCUUCCAUGCCUCGUCCUAGCAACACCGUUCCCCACUUCGAUCCUGAGAGCACCAGUUCUGAAGAAAUCGUCCCUUCCGGUUGUGGCUCACCCAAAAGAAAGACCAUGUUACUGAGCCUGACAACCAAACGUCGGACAAACCUCACAUCGUUCCCACUCAAAA
This 303-nucleotide long non-coding RNA is filed under the name Prunus persica (peach). RNAcentral's name for it is "long non-coding RNA (PPER_LNC006230)". The record is from RNAcentral. Lineage: Eukaryota; Viridiplantae; Streptophyta; Magnoliopsida; Rosales; Rosaceae.